ACGGAGUUACAAAGGACGACAUUAGACGAAUCAUCUGGAAAGAUGAAUCAAAGAAGGUAAUAAUCCUGUAGUCGAAAAUGUUGUCUCUCUUGAGUGGAUCCUGAGUACGACGGAGCACGUGAAAUUCCGUCGGAAUCUGGGAGGACCAUCUCCUAAGGCUAAAUACUCUCUAGUGACCGAUAGUGAACCAGUACCGUGAGGGAAAGGUGAAAAGCACCCCGGAAGGGGAGUGAAAUAGAACCUGAAACCGUGUGCUUACAAGUAGUCAGAGCCCGUUAAUGGGUGAUGGCGUGCCUUUUGUAGAAUGAACCGGCGAGUUACGAUUUGAUGCAAGGUUAAGCAGUAAAUGUGGAGCCGUAGCGAAAGCGAGUCUGAAUAGGGCGUUUAGUAUUUGGUCGUAGACCCGAAACCAGGUGAUCUACCCUUGGUCAGGUUGAAGUUCAGGUAACACUGAAUGGAGGACCGAACCGACUUACGUUGAAAAGUGAGCGGAUGAACUGAGGGUAGCGGAGAAAUUCCAAUCGAACCUGGAGAUAGCUGGUUCUCUCCGAAAUAGCUUUAGGGCUAGCCUCAAGUGAUGAUUAUUGGAGGUAGAGCACUGUUUGGACGAGGGGCCCCUCUCGGGUUACCGAAUUCAGACAAACUCCGAAUGCCAAUUAAUUUAACUUGGGAGUCAGAACAUGGGUGAUAAGGUCCGUGUUCGAAAGGGAAACAGCCCAGACCACCAGCUAAGGUCCCAAAAUAUAUGUUAAGUGGAAAAGGAUGUGGCGUUGCCCAGACAACUAGGAUGUUGGCUUAGAAGCAGCCAUCAUUUAAAGAGUGCGUAAUAGCUCACUAGUCGAGUGACACUGCGCCGAAAAUGUACCGGGGCUAAACAUAUUACCGAAGCUGUGGAUUGUCCUUUGGACAAUGGUAGGAGAGCGUUCUAAGGGCGUUGAAGCAUGAUCGUAAGGACAUGUGGAGCGCUUAGAAGUGAGAAUGCCGGUGUGAGUAGCGAAAGACGGGUGAGAAUCCCGUCCACCGAUUGACUAAGGUUUCCAGAGGAAGGCUCGUCCGCUCUGGGUUAGUCGGGUCCUAAGCUGAGGCCGACAGGCGUAGGCGAUGGAUAACAGGUUGAUAUUCCUGUACCACCUAUA
This 1136-nucleotide ribosomal RNA is filed under the name Staphylococcus aureus. Its description in RNAcentral is "partial 23S ribosomal RNA". It matches the Rfam family "Bacterial large subunit ribosomal RNA", at positions 310 to 1452 of the family's 2925-position model. The record is from RNAcentral. Lineage: Bacteria; Bacillati; Bacillota; Bacilli; Caryophanales; Staphylococcaceae.